UACGGUAGGGUGCGAGCGUUGUCCCGGAAUUACUCGGGCGUAAAGAGCUCGUAGGUGGUUUGUCACGUCGUCUGUGAAAUUCCGGGGCUUAACCUCGGGCGUACAGGCGAUACGGGCAAUACUUGAGUGCUGUAGGGGAGACUGGAAUUCCUGGUGUAGCGGUGAAAUGCGCAGAUAUCAGGAGGAACACCAAUGGCGAAGGCAGGUCUCUGGGCAGUUACUGACGCUGAGGAGCGAAAGCAUGGGUAGCGAACAGGAUUAGAUACCCGGGUA
This 273-nucleotide ribosomal RNA is filed under the name uncultured prokaryote. RNAcentral's name for it is "partial 16S ribosomal RNA". It matches the Rfam family "Bacterial small subunit ribosomal RNA", at positions 524 to 792 of the family's 1533-position model. The record is from RNAcentral.